Molecule: ribosomal RNA, 695 nt
Filed under: Boodlea composita
Lineage: Eukaryota; Viridiplantae; Chlorophyta; Ulvophyceae; Cladophorales; Boodleaceae
Description: 16S ribosomal RNA
Rfam family: Bacterial small subunit ribosomal RNA
Source: RNAcentral
UUCCUGGCCGAGGCGGCCCGAACCAGCAAGUGGCCCAGAACUCCACCAGAGACGGUUCGAAUGGAUCAUUCGAGGUUGGACCGGUUGAGUAGUGAAAUGCGACGACCGGUUGCUGCUAGUUGCCUUUGAGGUGGACAGCGCCAAGUGACCUCGAAAGAUGGAAGACGAAGGCUGGAUCAUCACCUGGAUUCGAGACCCAGUUAGUCUGUUGUGUGAAUGAUGAAGACCAAUGCCAGCGUAAGCGUUGAGUCUUCGGCCUGGAAGUGCUCGCCUGCCGAGUAAUCCAAGCUACUUGACGGGAUUGGACGCCACCGGUGGAGCGUGUGGCUUAAUUGGAUGCAACGCCAAGAAUCUUACGAGAAUCCGUGGCCGUUCGUGGCGCGGUGGUGCAUGGCCGUCGUCAGCACGGUUCGAGAGUAUUGAGUNAUCAUCUGUACAUUGCCGGUGAGUUGACUUCAGGUCCGCAUGCCCAAUGUUCUCGGCUGCUCACGCACUACAUCGGCCUGGGUAACGUGUUGGGCUCGGCUGCUGGAACUCGAAACCGUCAACCAGGAAUCGGUAGUAAUCGUCGGCCCAGCAAGGUGGGAUGAAUGUCGGCCACUGGUUUGUACACACCGCCCAUCACACUGUCCUUCGACUCUGGUCAGUGAAGUUGUAACAAGGUGUCCGAACUGGAAGGUCCGGAUCGAUCCAUC